Molecule: long non-coding RNA, 416 nt
Filed under: Salmo salar (Atlantic salmon)
Lineage: Eukaryota; Metazoa; Chordata; Actinopteri; Salmoniformes; Salmonidae
Description: lncRNA (ENSSSAG00000110544.1)
Source: RNAcentral
UUACCAUAGGUUACUGUACUGACGUUACCAUAGGUUACUGUACUGACGUUACCAUAGGUUACUGUACUGAUGUUACCAUAGGUUACUGUACUGACGUUACCAUAGGUUACUGUACUGACGUUACCAUAGGUUACUGACCUGACGUUACCAUAGGUUACUGUACUGACCCGACGUUUCCAUAGGUUACUGUACUGACGUUACCAUAGGCUACUGACCUGACAUUAGAAGCGUGAGAAGAUAGGGGAAGAGGUUUUUUUAUUAGCUAGAGAACAUCGAAUUAACUUUUUCAAAACUAUUGAAGGAUACAAUAAGCCUAGUUAUCACGUUUCACAAUGGAUUUAUUCAUUACACUAAGGUAAGAUGUGUUUUUAAUUCUGGUGCCGCUCAAGCUUGUUAGCUUGCUAGUGUAAGGGACG